UGAGGGAUGACGGCCUUCGGGUUGUAAACCUCUUUCAGCAGGGAAGAAGCGAAAGUGACGGUACCUGCAGAAGAAGCGCCGGCUAACUACGUGCCAGCAGCCGCGGUAAUACGUAGGGCGCGAGCGUUGUCCGGAAUUAUUGGGCGUAAAGAGCUCGUAGGCGGCUUGUCACGUCGGUUGUGAAAGCCCGGGGCUUAACCCCGGGUCUGCAGUCGAUACGGGCAGGCUAGAGUUCGGUAGGGGAGAUCGGAAUUCCUGGUGUAGCGGUGAAAUGCGCAGAUAUCAGGAGGAACACCGGUGGCGAAGGCGGAUCUCUGGGCCGAUACUGACGCUGAGGAGCGAAAGCGUGGGGAGCGAACAGGAUUAGAUACCCUGGUAGUCCACGCCGUAAACGG
RNAcentral lists this ribosomal RNA (395 nucleotides) under uncultured bacterium. RNAcentral's name for it is "bacterial SSU rRNA". It matches the Rfam family "Bacterial small subunit ribosomal RNA", at positions 402 to 809 of the family's 1533-position model. The record is from RNAcentral.